CUUGUACCAAACGAGUAGCGAUGAAUUCAAUUCGAUUAGCAGUUCUUCGUACAGAUACGUAGAAAUGUCCCUUUCAGUUUAAAUAGCUUGUAGCAAUUACACGUCCUUACUCUGACGCAGUCACAACUUUACUAACUCACGCUAUCUAGUCUAUUAGGAACAUAUGGUAUAGCCGUUUCCGUCCUGGUAUCAAUCAAAUUAACUAUAUUAUUAACUAAAACAUAAUGAACUAUUUAUGAAGGACAAUGAACUAAUUUUUAGUAAGCGUUUCAAACCAACAGCCCAGGCUUAUGCAUACCGCCGCUCCACAGCAUAAAGGCGAGGGCUAAAAUUGCUAUUAAAUUAUUAAUACUGUAGAGUGUAUUAGGGAAAAUGGCUGUAAGCCUGUAAGAACUUGUUGUUUUGUUUAAACUUAUAGGAU
This is a non-coding RNA of Paramuricea clavata, 421 nucleotides long. Lineage: Eukaryota; Metazoa; Cnidaria; Anthozoa; Malacalcyonacea; Plexauridae. The record is from the annotation of a GenBank genome assembly.